RNAcentral lists this ribosomal RNA (253 nucleotides) under uncultured bacterium. RNAcentral's name for it is "partial 16S ribosomal RNA". It matches the Rfam family "Bacterial small subunit ribosomal RNA", at positions 524 to 776 of the family's 1533-position model. The record is from RNAcentral.
UACGGAGGAUCCGAGCGUUAUCCGGAUUUAUUGGGUUUAAAGGGUGCGUAGGCGGACCCGUAAGUCAGUGGUGAAAGUUUGCAGCUCAACUGUAAAAUUGCCAUUGAAACUAUGGGUCUUGAGUGUAAAUGAGGUAGGCGGAAUGUGUUGUGUAGCGGUGAAAUGCUUAGAUAUAACACAGAACACCAAUUGCGAAGGCAGCUUACUGGGAUACAACUGACGCUGAGGCACGAAAGCGUGGGGAGCAAACAGG